This 83-nucleotide small RNA is filed under the name Marmota monax (woodchuck). Lineage: Eukaryota; Metazoa; Chordata; Mammalia; Rodentia; Sciuridae. The record is from RNAcentral.
GCUGGGAGUGGUGGUGCACACCUGUAAUCCCAGCAGCUUGGGAGGCCAAGGCAGGAGGAUCAAGAGUUCAAAGCCAGCCUCAG